RNAcentral lists this ribosomal RNA (466 nucleotides) under uncultured bacterium. RNAcentral describes it as "bacterial SSU rRNA". It matches the Rfam family "Bacterial small subunit ribosomal RNA", at positions 43 to 524 of the family's 1533-position model. The record is from RNAcentral.
CAGGCCUAACACAUGCAAGUCGAACGGUAAGGCCCCUUCGGGGGUACACGAGUGGCGAACGGGUGAGUAACACGUGAGCAACCUACCCUUGACUCUGGAAUAACAGUUGGAAACAGCUGCUAAUACUGGAUAUGACCGCCUCCUGCAUGGGAUGGUGGUGGAAAGCUCCGGCGGUUGGGGAUGGGCUCGCGGCCUAUCAGCUUGUUGGUGAGGUAGUGGCUCACCAAGGCUUCGACGGGUAGCCGGCCUGAGAGGGCGACCGGCCACACUGGGACUGAGAUACGGCCCAGACUCCUACGGGAGGCAGCAGUGGGAAUAUUGCACAAUGGGCGCAAGCCUGAUGCAGCAACGCCGCGUGCGGGAUGACGGCCUUCGGGUUGUAAACCGCUUUCAGUGGGGACGAAGGGUGACUGACGGUACCCACAGAAGAAGGACCGGCUAACUACGUGCCAGCAGCCGCGGUAAU